AGUUGUGUCUUGUGAGAGUCAAAAGUUGGUUUUAGAGAUAUUAUGCUUGUUUUACAUUGUUUUGUAGGGUUUUAAGGUGAAUUGAUGAUGGAAGUGAAGUAAGGUGGACUUAGACCCAUGAAAGAAGGAGAAAAAUGAUGAAAAGAAGGGUCAAGUGAGCUGCUGAGCACCAGAAUGGACCGUUGAGCGCUCAGAGCGAUUAGAGGGAAACCGCUCAGCAGCAAAACUAACUGCUGAGCAGUCAAAGCGGCAAGAGGGAAACCGCUGAGCGGUGAACUUAGGCGCCUG
Molecule: long non-coding RNA, 288 nt
Filed under: Vigna radiata
Lineage: Eukaryota; Viridiplantae; Streptophyta; Magnoliopsida; Fabales; Fabaceae
Description: long non-coding RNA (VRAD_LNC016492)
Source: RNAcentral